Molecule: ribosomal RNA, 267 nt
Filed under: uncultured bacterium
Lineage: Bacteria
Description: partial 16S ribosomal RNA
Rfam family: Bacterial small subunit ribosomal RNA
Source: RNAcentral
UACGUAGGGUGCGAGCGUUAAUCGGAAUUACUGGGCGUAAAGCGUGCGCAGGCGGUUUUGUAAGCCAGAUGUGAAAUCCCCGGGCUUAACCUGGGAAUGGCAUUUGGGACUGCAAGGCUUGAGUGCGGCAGAGGAGACUGGAAUUCCUGGUGUAGCAGUGAAAUGCGUAGAUAUCAGGAGGAAUACCGAUGGCGAAGGCAGGUCUCUGGGCUGACACUGACGCUCAUGCACGAAAGCGUGGGGACAAACAGGAUUAGAAACCCGUAG